UACGUAGGAUGCAAGCGUUGUCCGUUUUUAUUGGGUUUAAAGGGUGCAUAGGCGGCUUAUUAAGUUAGUGGUGAAAACGUUCGGCUUAACCGGAUACCCGCCAUUGAUACUGAUAGACUUGAGUGCGACAGAGGGUGUUGGAAUGUGUGGUGUAGCGGUGAAAUGCUUAGAUAUCACGCAGAACACCAAUUGCGAAGGCAGAUGCGUAUGUCGUAACUUACGGUGAGUCAAGAAAGCGUGGGGAGCAAACAGG
This 253-nucleotide ribosomal RNA is filed under the name uncultured bacterium. Its description in RNAcentral is "partial 16S ribosomal RNA". It matches the Rfam family "Bacterial small subunit ribosomal RNA", at positions 524 to 776 of the family's 1533-position model. The record is from RNAcentral.